CGCCGUCUCCCUCUGCAGCUGAAGAAGAAGCCCAAGAUCAUGCAGCAGCAUCUUGAUUAUUGUUUCCCUGGUUUAUGGCUAUCCAAGAUAACUCCUCGAUCCUACAAAGCCAAUGAAUAAGACAUGUGUUCUUAUAGUCCGUAUACAUUGUGAAGGUUGUAAGGAUAGGUCAGGAAGAAGGUGCAGAAGGUUCAAGGUAAGUUGUGGGGUUCAGUUGUAUUUUAUUCGUUGUUUAAUUGGUUUAUUGUUUGGCUGGGUUCAUGUGGUACAUGGAAGCAAUAAAUAACAUAUUGUUGUAGGAGCUUUGUUGAUUCUUUGAAAAUGUGAACUCAAUUUUACUCUGUUUCAAUUAUGUUUCAUAUUCUGUUAUUUACUUGAGUUAUGCUUGUAUUGUAAUUCAAAGAAGGAAAAUGUUUGUCUGGCAAACUCUAUAUCUGAAAUGCAUAAAUUUGGAGCAAUCUAUAAUAUCAAAUGGUUCUCAUACUUUGGCACAUGAAUCCAAUGAUUUGGGUAAAAAAGAUAAAAAGAAGAAAGGAACAAAAAGAGGAAGGCACUUUGAUAGAGAUUCUCGAGCUACUAAUCCAGAGGUCUCAAUUUGGUGUGAUCUCACUGUAGUUGAAGACAACUGUAUUUGUUCACCUCUUU
Molecule: long non-coding RNA, 645 nt
Organism: Zingiber officinale
Lineage: Eukaryota; Viridiplantae; Streptophyta; Magnoliopsida; Zingiberales; Zingiberaceae
Exons: 4
Source: RefSeq, a predicted model, not a curated record